AGAGUUUGAUCCUGGCUCAGGAUGAACGCUAGCGGCAGGCUUAAUACAUGCAAGUCGAGGGGCAGCGCAGUGUAGCAAUACAUGGGCGGCGACCGGCAAACGGGUGCGGAACACGUACAGAACCUUCCUUCGAGCGGGGCAUAGCCCGGCGAAAGCCGGAUUAAUACCCCAUAGUAAAACGAGACGGCAUCGUUUUGUUU
Molecule: ribosomal RNA, 200 nt
Filed under: uncultured bacterium
Lineage: Bacteria
Description: partial 16S ribosomal RNA
Rfam family: Bacterial small subunit ribosomal RNA
Source: RNAcentral